UCGAGAAUCUUUCGCAAUGGGCGAAAGCCUGACGAAGCGACGCUGCGUGAGCGAUGAAGGCCUUCGGGUCGUAAAGCUCUUUCGCGUGGGAACAAGGAAGAGACGUGAAUAACGUUUCAUUUUGAGGGUACUACGAUAAGAAGCACCGGCUAACUCCGUGCCAGCAGCUGCGGUAAUACGGAGGGUGCAAGCAUUAAUCGGAAUUAUUGGGCGUAAAGGGCGCGUAGGCGGAUAUGUAAGUCAGAUGUGAAAUUCCGGGACUCAAUUUCGGAGCUGCAUUUGAAACUACAAAUCUCGAGGAUUGGCGGAGAGAACGGAAUUCCACGUGUAGCGGUGAAAUGCGUAGAUAUGUGGAAGAACACCGGUGGCGAAAGCGGUUCUCUAGCUUAUACCUGACGCUGAGGCGCGAGAGCAAGGGGAUCAAACAGGAUUAGAUACCCCCGUAGUCC
Molecule: ribosomal RNA, 449 nt
Filed under: uncultured bacterium
Lineage: Bacteria
Description: bacterial SSU rRNA
Rfam family: Bacterial small subunit ribosomal RNA
Source: RNAcentral